This 207-nucleotide long non-coding RNA is filed under the name Capsicum annuum. RNAcentral describes it as "long non-coding RNA (CANN_LNC001513)". Lineage: Eukaryota; Viridiplantae; Streptophyta; Magnoliopsida; Solanales; Solanaceae. The record is from RNAcentral.
GCGUGUGUAUCGAGUCAUGUAGUAUAUGUUAUUGUAAAAUGAUAUCAAUACCAUGAAGGUUAAAUUUUGAGUAAAUAAUUAUACAUGAAAGAAUAAGGUAGUAGUUUUCAUGAUUAAUUAUAAUUAAGUGCAAUAAUUGUUUAGUACUCAUAGCGGAUAGACGUGUUGGGCGGGGAUAAAGGUGGCUAGUGUUGAAAAUUGAUGGUG